GUGUAUGUGUAUGAGAAGCCAUUAGAGGCAAAGAAUAAGGUCUUGAGCUAGUUGAAUAAGAGGUCUGAUGAAACUAGUAUGAACUUGAAUCAGAAACAAAGAGACUUAGAGAGAUUAAGAGAUUAGAGACUAAGAAAGGGGUAGAUUAAGAGAAUCUGAUCAAGAACACACUUUUAUAUUUAUGAAGGAGAUGGGGAAAACCCCCAUACUCUCUUAGAGCUUACAAAACGUCCAUACAUCAGUUUAUAUAUGUUUUCACACUCUGAAACUCAUAAACCUAAAUCUGAUGGCUCUAAAUGACUUUGGGAAAUGGAUGGCUUGGAUGUAGCUUUGGAUCUGGUCAAGGUAGACUAAAUGGUGAUUGGUUCUCCCUUGCUGGCGCCUGAUUGCUUUACUUAAAGCUCCAUGUAUCUUCCCUCUCCUUUGGCCAGAUACAUGAUCUCUUCCUUGCCUUUACUUUACAGCUCACGCCAGCUUGCACAUUUGAAUUUGAACAAGCUGUAUGGAUAAGGUUUCUUAUCCAUAAACGGUCAAGAGAGCUCAGCACCUUCCUGGUUACUUCCUAAAGCAUCUCGGACAGUAUAUGCCUUUAGGAUCUUUGCUCUCUUGCCCACUUGUUCCCCAAACCUUCUUCAUGCCUUGUAUCACAAGUCUUCAUCAGCUGAGUGUACGGAUUAGGGUUGCUUCUCUCACAUUGCGCCCUAUCUUUGCACAACUCCAAAACAUCCCAAAACUUGAUAGAAACUCUUUUGGAUCAGCCAUGUCCUUCCCCGGCCGUACCAUCUGUACAUGGCCGUACAUGGCUGUCCCUAUCUUUGCACCAUCUACCUUUCUCUCCUUAACUCAUCCAAAGACUACUCCACUUCUAUCUGAACUCUUCUUAGCCAUUGUCCCAACCUUAUAUCAGCUUCUCAUCACUUCUGAAGCUUCAUAGAACUCUUCUUAAGAUCUUCAAGAGCUUGUCCCUAUUUAUGCACAAGCUCCAUUCUUCUCUUCAGUUCAACACUCCCCCUCAAGCUUGACUUUAGUUGAUCCUAAGUCAAGCUUGGAACCCUGAAGAACUUCCUCAUUAAAAACCUCACCAAGGAAAACCCUUUGGGACAAAACCUUGAUGAGGGAAAAAGAGUAAAGUCUCCAAGGCCUAGGGAUUGGCCAGUGAGUCUUUGUGCCUUACCAACAAUGUAAGGGACACAAAGACUCUGGAUCAUGGCCUCUACAAUCACCCCACGCCUUGUACUCUCCUUACUGCCUAAUCUUGGUCUCUC
This 1265-nucleotide long non-coding RNA is filed under the name Brassica rapa (field mustard). RNAcentral describes it as "long non-coding RNA (BRAP_LNC008041)". Lineage: Eukaryota; Viridiplantae; Streptophyta; Magnoliopsida; Brassicales; Brassicaceae. The record is from RNAcentral.